CACGUAGGGGGCGAGCGUUGUCCGGAUUUAUUGGGCGUAAAGAGCUCGUAGGCGGCUCGGUAAGUCAGGUGUGAAACCUCCAGGCUCAACCUGGAGACGCCACCUGAUACUGCCGUGGCUAGAGUCCGGUAGAGGAGCGUAGAAUUCCUGGUGUAGCGGUGAAAUGCGCAGAUAUCAGGAGGAACACCGGUGGCGAAGGCGGGUCUCUGGGCCGAUACUGACGCUGAGGAGCGAAAGCGUGGGGAGCGAACAGG
RNAcentral lists this ribosomal RNA (254 nucleotides) under uncultured bacterium. Its description in RNAcentral is "partial 16S ribosomal RNA". It matches the Rfam family "Bacterial small subunit ribosomal RNA", at positions 524 to 776 of the family's 1533-position model. The record is from RNAcentral.